AUCAGGCGAACAAUAUGCUGAACUAAUUGGAAUGAGAAGUGAUGUAGUUAGAAGGGUGACUCAUCAACAUGUCAGUUAAGUUUUUGUUCGGAAAUAUAUUGGGCUCUAUUUUUGUAGAUGCCGCAUCUUGAUUUUCAUGCCAGCGCAAGCUUUGUUGUGCCUGUUCGGGAAUUUGGUUCAUCUCUCUGCGCUAUGCUGGGCAUUCCGGCAUUCAAGGGGUGGCUCCUUUGAUAUGAUGCCUGCCGCAUCUGAUAUCUUGGUGACAGACAUCGGUCGACGCAUGACGCUUGCUGGAAACCCGUUAAAGUCGGCGGAGUAACGUGAUUUUGGUGAAUUUGAUCGGGGAACGGACAAACAGAUUCUGACCUCUGUCGAUAUGUGCGCUACGAGGACGGUGAGGAGGGGGCGAGGGCAGGAGUGUCACACACAGACACAAAUGAUCGGGGGUGGAAGGCGGUCUCACUUCACAGAUCUGUGAUCUCCCCAGCCAAUAUUAUAUCAUCCGCCUGUGGAGGUCAGCGGUCCACUUUACAUACACAGAUGAGGCCGUCUUCUUCCGGAAGUGAUAAGACAAAGCAGCGAGGAGAGUGUAGUGACACUCUCCGUCUAUGCUAUAACAACAUCCGCUGCAUUUUGACACACAGUAAUGAGUUUAAAAAAAAAAAAAACAAGGUUCAGUUUGGAAAAAAAAAGUACUGUAGUAGCACAUCUUCUGGGGUGCAGUUUCGAGCUUCGACACGGCGCCUCAGCUGAUCUCACAGGUUUUCAACAGGAUUCAGGUCUGGAGAAAGCGCAGGCCAUUCCAUUUGAGUCUACGCUUCUCCUGGCUGCUACCACAGAAUAGCACAUCCCUUCUAUUACGUGCAAUUUCCUGGGUUUUAUAAGGAUCCAGGACGUCCAACAGGCUCGUGCGACAGCUGCGAGGGAAGAGACGGUGUUGGAGGGGGCGGAUCUAAAAGGCCCGUCUGCGAACGCAAGGCAACUGUUUCCCCCUCCCGACAGACCACAUAGGCCGAUGUUUAUGCUACAACUACUCCAAACCUGAGACCUGCAGUUAGGCUGCAUGUGGAAUAAGCAGCUUUUCUUCAGCAGGCCUGUGAGCCGAGCCCCCACUGGAGAGGUGAGUGGCCGUCUCAUUGGAUGAGCCGUUAUCUCGGCCAAACACAGCACAGAUGCGGGAAGAACAUUUUAUUUUUUAUUUUUUUUAAAUAUAUAUUCACAUCUUCCGGUCGCAAUAUUAUUGGAUAAUCAGCGGUCUGAUUUCCAUGCCUGGCUGCGCUCCCAAUGACCAAAUUAUGUAAAGACAUAGGGAACGGCGCUGACAGUGUUUUUGAUCCUAAUACGCCAAGAUUUGGUCCAAGCCUGGAGGUAGGACAUCAACUGAAAGUGUUUUCAAACAACGGAUCUUUGCUGAGGAAAAAGCGAAAGGAGGACCGUAAACACAGCGAAGCAAACACACAGUGCCAGUAAAAUUCCCUCGUUUAAGGAUCGUGACCUCGUUCUUGCCUG
Molecule: long non-coding RNA, 1509 nt
Organism: Hippocampus comes (tiger tail seahorse)
Lineage: Eukaryota; Metazoa; Chordata; Actinopteri; Syngnathiformes; Syngnathidae
Exons: 7
Source: RefSeq, a predicted model, not a curated record